RNAcentral lists this ribosomal RNA (255 nucleotides) under uncultured bacterium. Its description in RNAcentral is "partial 16S ribosomal RNA". It matches the Rfam family "Bacterial small subunit ribosomal RNA", at positions 524 to 776 of the family's 1533-position model. The record is from RNAcentral. RNAcentral also lists the same sequence under 1 other name.
UACGUAGGGGGCGAGCGUUGUCCGGAGUUACUGGGCGUAAAGGGCGCGUAGGCGGUUGGGUCAGUUUCCCAUGACAGUGCCGGGCUUAACCCGGCAAGGUUUGGCGAAAGACGGCCUGACUUGAGGGCCAGAGAGGGACAUAGAAUUCCGGGUGGAGUGGUGAAAUGCGUAGAUAUCCGGAGGAAUACCAAAGGCGAAGGCAGUGUCCUGGCUGGCAACUGACGCUGAGGCGCGAAAGCUAGGGGAGCGAACAGG